AGAGUUUGAUCCUGGCUCAGGACGAACGCUGGCGGCGUGCCUAAUACAUGCAAGUCGAACGAAGCUUUCUUUCACCGAAUGCUUGCAUUCACCGAAAGAAGCUUAGUGGCGAACGGGUGAGUAACACGUAGGCAACCUGCCCAAAAGAGGGGGAUAACACUUGGAAACAGGUGCUAAUACCGCAUAACCAUGAACACCGCAUGAUGUUCAUGUAAAAGACGGCUUUUGCUGUCACUUUUGGAUGGGCCUGCGGCGUAUUAACUUGUUGGUGGGGUAACGGCCUACCAAGGUGAUGAUACGUAGCCGAACUGAGAGGUUGAUCGGCCACAUUGGGACUGAGACACGGCCCAAACUCCUACGGGAGGCAGCAGUAGGGAAUCUUCCACAAUGGACGAAAGUCUGAUGGAGCAACGCCGCGUGAAUGAAGAAGGCCUUCGGGUCGUAAAAUUCUGUUGUCAGAGAAGAACGUGCGUGAGAGUAACUGUUCACGUAUUGACGGUAUCUGACCAGAAAGCCACGGCUAACUACGUGCCAGCAGCCGCGGUAAUACGUAGGUGGCGAGCGUUGUCCGGAUUUAUUGGGCGUAAAGGGAACGCAGGCGGUCUUUUAAGUCUGAUGUGAAAGCCUUCGGCUUAACCGAAGUAGUGCAUUGGAAACUGGAAGACUUGAGUGCAGAAGAGGAGAGUGGAACUCCAUGUGUAGCGGUGAAAUGCGUAGAUAUAUGGAAGAACACCAGUGGCGAAAGCGGCUCUCUGGUCUGUAACUGACGCUGAGGUUCGAAAGCGUGGGUAGCAAACAGGAUUAGAUACCCUGGUAGUCCACGCCGUAAACGAUGAGUGCUAAGUGUUGGAGGGUUUCCGCCCUUCAGUGCUGCAGCUAACGCAUUAAGCACUCCGCCUGGGGAGUACGGUCGCAAGACUGAAACUCAAAGGAAUUGACG
RNAcentral lists this ribosomal RNA (940 nucleotides) under uncultured bacterium. RNAcentral's name for it is "bacterial SSU rRNA". It matches the Rfam family "Bacterial small subunit ribosomal RNA", at positions 8 to 915 of the family's 1533-position model. The record is from RNAcentral.